GCCUGUCUCUAGGGAAGUGCUUUGCAAAGGUAGGACUGUCUGCAGUCCUGUGCCUUUGCUCUGCAAUUGGUAGAAGACAGAUGUAUGCUUUUCUCUGUAUGCCCUUCAUAGGAGUUGAUAAAACUGAGGUGAGGUACUGAAAUACAGGACUGGCUCAUAUGUCUACAGGUUGAAAACCUUGUAGCUUUGCUGAUAGGUGAGAGUAUAAAAGCACACUUCUGCAAGGCUUUAUCUGGAGAUCCUGCAAACGUCCAAAUGACAAGACUUGCACUACUGUCCAGUAAAAUUACUGCUUAUAUUUGCACUCAGGAGGCAGAAGCUCCAAGCUGCAUACUGUGGUAAGUGAACUACUCACAGUCCUGGAUAAAGUUGAACAUGAUUCCUAACACAUUGCUCUUUUACCCUGUCAAAAUAUCCAGCAGCAGGAAUCAGCAUUUGCACUUAGUAUGAAAGAGAGUUCAGCCUGCUCGGAUUUCCACUAGUUAACUAGAAGAGCUCUUUUUGUCCUGGCACAGCAUCUUACAGCAGAUCCUGUAAACUACUGAAGCUAGCCACUUACUAGAUCCCAGUCAUGUGACACCUAACACUGUGGAUUCCAUGUUCUGCUUGGGACAGAUGAUGCUUAAGAAAUGGCUGUUUGUGAAAGCUGAGUAGAUUUUACUGCAGUAAGCUCUGGCCUGGCUCAUCUCUUAGGCAACUCUGCUGAAGUUUAGAGUGGACUUGGCUCCUUGGGAGUACGCCAUUCUUCCCUAAAGUACAGGUAUUGCAUUUCCCUAUUUAUGUUUUGAGUGAGGGAUAAGUGUGUUCUAGUCAAGUUGUUGAGUUCUAAGCUGUCUGCUGUGUGCAUAAAGCAAAAAAUAUCCCCAUCUCAAAACACGUACAAUCCAAGCCCAUAAGUGGAAGGUCUCUUCUACCUGAACGCAUUCAAGGAUUCUUACGCAGACACUCUCGUGGGCGUUUGCCUCUUAGUUAAAAUGUUAUCCCAACAUUUUAACACACAAUUCCCAUUUCACACCACCCGCAGUUCUGAAAACUUUCUGACAUGCCUAUUAGCUUGGUAAGCCUGACACCUGAUAUACAGGUUGAUGCUUAACUCACCCAGACUGAUGUUUCAGUAGGAAUUUUAUGAUUUACCACAGCCUAAAUACAUGCAAUAAAAUAUACCAGACAAGAUUUUUCAGCGUGUGAAGGGUGCCCAGUGAUUUGGAGCACCACAACUCCAACUUUGAGUGGAAAGUCCUAGUUUUGUCUCCAACAGAAUGAGCAAAAUAUUUAGCUAUUUGUCCAACUCAGCUGAGCCACAGAACCAUUCCCUAUAGCUCAGCUGCCAUGAGGAGCUGCAUGGAGUCCAAGAACGAACACUAGUAACUAGUCUCUCUGCAUGGAAGUUUCGGCUUAAUUCAGUUGCGCUGCAGCUUGGUUCCAUACACCAACUGAACAUAUUUUUGUCAACCAAUAGAUAACCUAGCCAACAGACAAUCCAGUGCCUUUAUGUAUGAUCCAGCUGCCAGUUUGUGCCUUGUCUUGGUCUGGCAAACAAAAUUAGGCAAAUUUAUUGUCUAUUUAUUCAACUCAAGGCUUCAGGGCCUUAUGCACUGAUUUUAUGGCUGAAACUUUGGAAGUAGACAACUGUGAGGAAUUCUAACGCAAGUAUUUUUCAAAAGUUAAACAGUUGCGCUUGCUGAAUAGGAAGAUGGGUUAUUCCAGACAUUCAGAGCAGAUGAGUCAGUGCAUGUUCCAACAAAGGGCUAGGUUGUCCCUACAGCCUAAUAUAGGGAAGUAGGGAGCAAUGUUUCAUGGCCACUUUGGGUCUUGGUUUGCAGUUCAGUGACAGAGUGAGAAUAAGCGUUGCAUCCAUGAGAGGGAGGAGCCCAUGGGUCAAGUUUGCAUGAUGGCCAUCCCUUGCUUGUGUAGGUGUGAGGGAAAAGGAAUAGAUUGCUCUUCAAAAAGAAAUGAUGACUCUCCUCCCUCCCUCAGGCCAAGAGAAAAAAAGAUAAGAGAAAGAAUUAUAGCUCCAAACCUUUCUUCUGUUUUCACUUCCUUUGGGAAUGCAGCUAUGCGCUGCUGUAGCUCAGAGCUAUCCAGACAAUAAUGAUUCACAUGACAGUAAAGGAUAGCGGUAAAGUAGAAUGGCACCUCCUUCCCUUGAAGAUAUUUGGACUGAGACCAGAAUUUUGAGAGACUGUAUCUUAUAUAGAAGGUUACAUGUGGCCAUAUAGGAUGAGUCACCUGAUUUUUCGGUACAGGAGUUCAGUUUUACACCACUCAAGUCAUGUAAGGAACUUUAAAAACAACGUAACAAAAUCCCGCCUUUUAAUAAUGCCUUUAGGAAUACAAGACUAUUUUAAGUAGCCUUAAAGUAAACAAGAAUCUUGCAUUGUGUACAGAAGUUUUGUGGCAGUGUAAAAUGAGUGUGGCAGAUCUAAACUGUCUAUGUUCAUUUUUUUCCCCAUAUAUGUUAAAAAUCUGGGAAUUUAAAUGCAGGAACAAAUUGAAUCUUAGCUAAUACAGUGCUAGCACAAACAUCACAGUGGCACAAUUAUGAUCUGUCUGUAACACAGUGUUAGCUUAGAAAAGAUGCACAUAUAUAUGGCCACGUUCUGUUCUUACUUUUUGUUCUUUAAUUCUGCCUCAACAUGAUUCAUACUGUAAAAUGUAUCCCUUAAAAAUAAACAUCUACUGAGAAACUUUGGCAUUUUAAUAAACAGUAUGCAAAUAAUAAAUGGGGCAGGGGGAGGACAAAUUAGAAGCCUUGAUAGGUUAUCUGAUCAAGAGGUUCUUAAAUGAAUAAUAGAUUAAUUACUCAUGAGUAGGUUUUCAGGCAUCUUUGUGUGAGGGAUAUUAUUUCUAUUCCCAUCAUUUAUUGUUUAUAGUAAAGAUUUUCAAAGCUGUAGAUGGGAAUCAAGUGUACUACUCCCAUAGAUUUUUCCAUGAGAGUUGGGGGGCUGCCUGUUUUCGCCCCUUUGGAAAACUGUACGAUAUCAAUAUGUGAAUAUUUUGCUUGCAGAGUUAACCUCCCUGAAGUCAGUAGGGUCAGUCUUGGGUGUCAAGUUACUCAUGUGCUCUAUUCAGCUUAGUAGUUCUAGAAUAUUUUCACAAUGAUAAGAGUUAGAUGAGCUGACAUAUUUAUGCCAGUGUGAGAUCACCUCAUAACUCAUGCAUGUGAAGAAUAGUAUGAAUGUGUUAUUCAAAGUACUCCCUAAUGAGGGAAAAUAUUUCAGACUACAUAGAGCUCAUUUUAUAGAUCAAGUUGUAUACUUCAAUGUAUUUAAAGUUUUAAAGAGUUUGACCUUAUUUUAGUUUUACUGCUGAGUUUGCUAUUAGCCAUAAG
Molecule: long non-coding RNA, 3331 nt
Organism: Struthio camelus australis
Lineage: Eukaryota; Metazoa; Chordata; Aves; Struthioniformes; Struthionidae
Source: RefSeq, a predicted model, not a curated record